This 22-nucleotide microRNA is filed under the name Dinoponera quadriceps. RNAcentral describes it as "dqu-miR-11658-3p". Lineage: Eukaryota; Metazoa; Arthropoda; Insecta; Hymenoptera; Formicidae. The record is from miRBase by way of RNAcentral.
ACUCUCGAACGGAAUGAUCUUG